RNAcentral lists this ribosomal RNA (465 nucleotides) under Vreelandella stevensii. RNAcentral describes it as "partial 16S ribosomal RNA". It matches the Rfam family "Bacterial small subunit ribosomal RNA", at positions 338 to 795 of the family's 1533-position model. The record is from RNAcentral. Lineage: Bacteria; Pseudomonadati; Pseudomonadota; Gammaproteobacteria; Oceanospirillales; Halomonadaceae.
CCUACGGGUGGCAGCAGUGGGGAAUAUUGGACAAUGGGGGGAACCCUGAUCCAGCCAUGCCGCGUGUGUGAAGAAGGCCCUCGGGUUGUAAAGCACUUUCAGUGAGGAAGAACGCCUGGUGGUUAAUACCCAUCAGGAAAGACAUCACUCACAGAAGAAGCACCGGCUAACUCCGUGCCAGCAGCCGCGGUAAUACGGAGGGUGCUAGCGUUAAUCGGAAUUACUGGGCGUAAAGCGCGCGUAGGUGGCUUGAUAAGCCGGUUGUGAAAGCCCCGGGCUCAACCUGGGAACGGCAUCCGGAACUGUCAAGCUAGAGUGCAGGAGAGGAAGGUAGAAUUCCCGGUGUAGCGGUGAAAUGCGUAGAGAUCGGGAGGAAUACCAGUGGCGAAGGCGGCCUUCUGGACUGACACUGACACUGAGGUGCGAAAGCGUGGGUAGCAAACAGGAUUAGAUACCCCUGUAGUC